GCAAUAGUAGCUCAGUGU
This 18-nucleotide transfer RNA is filed under the name Philypnodon grandiceps (flathead gudgeon). RNAcentral's name for it is "partial tRNA-Thr". The record is from RNAcentral. Lineage: Eukaryota; Metazoa; Chordata; Actinopteri; Gobiiformes; Eleotridae.